This 255-nucleotide ribosomal RNA is filed under the name uncultured bacterium. RNAcentral's name for it is "partial 16S ribosomal RNA". It matches the Rfam family "Bacterial small subunit ribosomal RNA", at positions 1246 to 1500 of the family's 1533-position model. The record is from RNAcentral.
GAAGCAAAGCCGCGAGGUAGAGCAAAUCUCAAAAAAACAAUCUCAGUUCAGACUGCAGGCCGCAACUCGCCUGCACGAAGUCGGAAUUGCUAGUAAUCGUAGGUCAGCAUACUACGGUGAAUACGUUCCCGGGCCUUGUACACACCGCCCGUCAAACCAUGAGAGUUGGCAACACCCGAAGUCGGUAGUCUAACCGCAAGGAGGACGCCGCCGAAGGUGGGGUUGAUGAUUAGGGUUAAGUCGUAACAAGGUAAC